UCGAGGAUCUUCGGCAAUGGGCGCAAGCCUGACCGAGCGACGCCGCGUGUGCGACGAAGGCCUUCGGGUUGUAAAGCACUGUCGAGGGGGAGAAAAGCCCGUAAGGGUCUGAUCUAUCCCUGGAGGAAGCACGGGCUAAGUUCGUGCCAGCAGCCGCGGUAAGACGAACCGUGCAAACGUUGUUCGGAAUCACUGGGCUUAAAGGGCGCGUAGGCGGGCGGUCAAGUCAGGGGUGAAAUCUUUCGGCUCAACCGGAAAAUAGCUUCUGAUACGGAUCGUCUCGAGAGAGGUAGGGGCAUGUGGAACUUCCGGUGGAGCGGUGAAAUGCGUAGAUAUCGGAAGGAACGCCGGUGGCGAAAGCGACGUGCUGGACCUUUCCUGACGCUGAGGCGCGAAAGCUAGGGGAGCAAACGGGAUUAGAUACCCCCGUAGUCC
Molecule: ribosomal RNA, 435 nt
Filed under: uncultured bacterium
Lineage: Bacteria
Description: bacterial SSU rRNA
Rfam family: Bacterial small subunit ribosomal RNA
Source: RNAcentral